GCCGCGCCGGAUGCCGCCACCGACCAUCGGGUGCCUGGGCUGUAUCUGGUAACGUACUUACGUGUAUGUCGCUACUACCAGCUCAGCUCGCAGAAGCAGUUCCGUGCACCCCCGGCCCUGGGAUGCCCUUUCCGGGUGGCGGUUGCGGACGGUGACGCGCGCGCCGGGCGGCUGCUGCGAUCGAAACUUCCGCCCGCGGCACGAAACCUCCCCGCGCAUUUCAGCGAAAAUCGGACGGACUUAUUACGGGCGAGUGGGGCGACACGACGACACGCGACGACUGGAAAGGGAAAUCCAGGCGUUUUUUCCAGCGGCCAAGCCAAGAUGUUCCCGCACGGUUUCGCCCAAAAUGGAACGAGGUUUCGACUCGACUACCUGUAACAAACCGACGAAAAUACGGCGCGCGCCGGCCCGGCCGCGAGGUUCCCGAAUUCCGAUUGGUUUCCGCCGUGGCGCGGCGGCCGCCACGCGGGGCGUGGCGGGGCAGAGGCGUCGGUGCGCGGUGAUGGGGCGGUGGCGAUCGACGCGGCCCGGUGUGGCCGCGUGGUGACGCCGUUCCGAGUCGGCGGCACGUGGAUCCUGGGCCCCGGGACUACUGUGUGCGUCGUCAGACUCGCAUACGGUUGGUGUGGCCCCCACGAGGGUCCGGCUCCCUUCACUCCUCGUCUCCGUGCCUUCUCUAGCCCUACCGUUGCCACUGGCUGCCAAGUUAGCCUGCACACUUUUUUAUUUUAAUGGUACCAAUAGGAGAGUGUGUAUUUUCAUUGUAUAUAGCGGGAAAAAAAUACAAUCCCUAUAGACAAAGAAAAUGCGAAAGCCAAAAUCUGUUUACUAUACAAGGUGCGGGAUAAGAUCGCGCAAUCGCUUAGCACCCGCUAACGCCCAAGUGCUAGCUUCUCCUUUUAUUUUUGCGA
RNAcentral lists this small RNA (914 nucleotides) under Oryza sativa Japonica Group (Japanese rice). RNAcentral describes it as "sRNA Os04g0412250". Lineage: Eukaryota; Viridiplantae; Streptophyta; Magnoliopsida; Poales; Poaceae. The record is from RNAcentral.